Esox lucius (northern pike) is the source of this 4786-nucleotide long non-coding RNA. RefSeq lists it as uncharacterized. NCBI's taxonomy places the organism in Eukaryota, Metazoa, Chordata, Actinopteri, Esociformes, Esocidae. The record is from RefSeq and is a predicted model, not a curated record. The transcript has 2 exons.
UCCCUGUCUACAUGUCUCCCCUGUCUCCCCUGUCUCCCCUGUCUCCCUGUCUACCCUGUCUACCUGUCUCCCCUGUCUAUCUGACUCCCCUGUCUAUCUGACUCCCAUGUCUACCUGUCACCCUUGUCUACCUGUCUGUCUGUCUCCCCGUCUAUCUGCCUCCCUUGAGGUCUACCUGUCUACCUGUCUCCAUGUCUACCUGUCUUCCCUGUCUACCUGUCUCCAUGUCUACCUGUCUGUCCUUCUGUCUGUCUACCUGUCUGUCUGUCUACCUGUCUGUCUGUCUACCUGUCUCCCAUCUACAUCUCUUGCUGAUACACAUAAGGACUAAAAUCAAUGGAGGCAGGAUGAAGAAUGGAUCAUGUUAAUAGAUAUUGGUGUUAAAUUCAGGACUUGGUUAUAUCUGUAUCCUGACCAACUGGCUUUCAGAGUAAAUCUCUGACUUCAGUUGUUGCAUUUAAAAAGGCCAAAAAGUGAAUUAGUAGACAACCAGGGAUCCAGAGAGCUUAGCAGUGACACCAGAACCACCAAAUAAACGGUGUUAUUAACAUUACAAUCUAUGUUAUUACUAUGUUAUUACAAUGUCUCUUAUUGGAAUUGGAGUUGCCAAGUGUUUGAUAAUGAUAUUGUAGUUCUUAUUCUCUAGUUGACUAUGUUGUUGCCUCAGACGUCACUAUAAAGACAAGAUCCUCUCUCUUUGGGGAAGUGCCUUGAUAUUAGACCUGUUGUGACAUCAUCCUCUCUAGCAGGCAAAAGUGUCUCAAAGGGCACCCUGUUCACUAUGUAGUAUGAAACAUAGCAGGUUAUGAAGACAAUCCUGUUCACUAUGUAGUAUGAAACAUAGCAGGGUUCUAAAGACAACCCUGUUCACUAUGUAGUAUGAAACAUAGCAGGUUAUAAAGACAACCCUGUUCACUAUGUAGUAUGAAACAUAGCAGGGUUCUAAAGACAACCCUGUUCACUAUGUAGUAUGAAACAUAGCAGGUUAUAAAGACAAUCCUAUUCACUAUGUAGUAUGAAACAUAGCAGGGUUCUAAAGACAACCCUGUUCACUAUGUAGUAUAAAACAUAGCAGGGUUCUAAAGACAACCCUGUUCACUAUGUAGUAUGAAACAUAGCAGGGUUCUAAAGACAACCCUGUUCACUAUGUAGUAUGAAACAUAGCAGGUUAUAAAGACAACCCUGUUCACUAUGUAGUAUGAAACAUAGCAGGGUUCUAAAGACAACCCUGUUCACUAUGUAUUAUGAAACAUAGCAGGGAUCUAAAGACAACCCUGUUCACUAUGUAGUAUGAAACAUAGCAGGGUCCUAAAGACAACCCUGUUCACUAUGUAGUAUGAAACAUAGCAGGGUUCUAAAGACAACCCUGUUCACUAUGUAGUAUGAAACAUAGCAGGUUAUAAAGACAAUCCUGUUCACUAUGUAGUAUGAAACAUAGCAGGGUUCUAAAGACAACCCUGUUCACUAUGUAGUAUGAAACAUAGCAGGGUUCUAAAGACAACCCUGUUCACUAUGUAGUAUGAAACAUAGCAGGGUUCUAAAGACAACCCUGUUCACUAUGUAUUAUGAAACAUAGCAGGGUUCUAAAGACAACCCUGUUCACUAUGUAGUAUGAAACAUAGCAGGGUUCUAAAGACAACCCUGUUCACUAUGUAGUAUGAAACAUAGCAGGGUUCUACAGACAACCCUGUUCACUAUGUAGUAUUAAACAUAGCAGGGUUCUAAAGACAACCCUGUUCACUAUGUAGUAUGAAACAUAGCAGGGUUCUAAAGACAACCCUGUUCACUAUGUAGUAUGAAACAUAGCAGGGUUCUAAAGACAACCCUGUUCACUAUGUAUUAUGAAACAUAGCAGGGUUCUAAAGACAACCAUGUUCACUAUGUAGUAUGAAACAUAGCAGGUUAUAAAGACAACCCUGUUCACUAUGUAUUAUGAAACAUAGCAGGGUUCUAAAGACAACCCUGUUCACUAUGUAGUAGGAAACAUAGCAGGGUUCUAAAGACCGACCUGUUCACUAUGUAUUAUGAAACAUAGCAGGGUUCUAAAGACAACCCUGUUCAAUAUGUAGUAUGAAACAUAGCAGGGUUCUAAAGACAACCCUGUUCACUAUGAAGUAUGAAACAUUGUAGGGUUCUAAAGACAAUCCUGUUCACUAUGUAGUAGAAACCAGUAGGGUUCUAAAGAGUGCCCUGUUCACUAUGUAGUAGGAAACAGUAGUGUUCUAAAGACAACCCUGUUCACUAUGUAGUAUGAAACACAGUAGGGUUCUAAAGACAACCCUGUUCACUAUGUAGUAUGAAACAUAGCAGGGUUCUAAAGACAACCCUGUUCACUAUGUAGUAUGAAACAUAGCAGGGUUCUAAAGACAACCCUGUUCACUAUGUAGUAUGAAACAUAGUAGGGUUCUAAAGACAACCCUGUUCACUAUUUAGUAUCAAACAGUAGGGUUCUAAAGACAACCCUGUUCUCUAUGUACUAAAAACAUAAGAGAGUUCUAACUGGAACCCUGCUGACUAUGUAGUAGGAAAUAUAGUAUGGUUCUAAAGGGAACCCGGCUCACUAUGUAGUAGGAAACAUAGUAUGGUUCUAAAGGGAACCCUGUUCACUAUGUAGUGAGAAACAUAGUAUGGUUCUAAAGAAAUGAAGUGAAAAACUAUAUAGGAAAUAGUGUGCAGGGACCGUAGUUGUAGUCAGAAGUAUGAUAUGAGGAAUAGGGAGGCAACAUUGUGCACUAUAAUGAACAGGGUGCCAUCAGGUUCUGGUGAUAAGUAGUGAACUUUCUAAUAGUGAACAGGGUGCCAUCAGGUUCUGGUGAUAAGUAGUGAACUCUCUAAUAGUGAACAGGGUACCAUCAGGUUCUGGUGAUAAGUAGUGAACUCUCUAAUAGUGAACAGAGUGCCAUCAGGUUCUGGUGAUAAGUAGUGAACUGUCUAAUAGUGAACAGGGUGCCAUCAGGUUCUGGUGAUAAGUAGUGAACUCUCUAAUGGUGAACAGAGUGCCAUCAGGUUCUGGUGAUAAGUAGUGAACUGUCUAAUAGUGAACAGGGUGCCAGGCUAACUCUUGCCAUAUAGAUGUGACAGUGUAACUAAAGGCUAUAGAAUCAAUUAAGUUCAGCUCCACAAAUUACCCUUAAGUUGAGCAGCAACUCCUGCUAGUAGACUGAAGCUCAGGUGCAUUGACACUGGAAAAUGCCAGGUCACAGUGUGGAGAUUCUGUGGUGCUAAAAUCCUUUAACAUCAGUGCCAGUCUACAAACAACUACGGUAACUAUUACAACUGGUGGAUUUGAGUUAAAUUGUCCAUUAUAUAUUGGUCAUUAUAGCAGUGGGAUCUCACUUUUCUUAAGGUUAAGUUACCCUCCACCUACAUGUAUUCUUAUGUGUGAGGAAGGAGAUAUGUCUUGAGUUACAAAGACAGACAGAGAGAGAUAGACUGACAGGCAGAGACAGACAGAGAGACAGAGACAGAGCGAGACAAACACUGCACUAUAAAGGGAAUAAAGGGUCACUAUAAAGGGAAUAGGGGGUUAUUUGAGACUUCGAUAUAAGCUGUCUCUAGUCCUCACAGUCCCCCAACAUAUCAUGCUUCUUGGCGGUAAGAGCCUAUACUGGAUCUAAGACAGCCUUUUUCAACCUUCUCCUAGUGGGGACACAGUCCAACCUUCUCCUACUGGGGACACAGUCCAACCUUCUAGUGGGGACACAGUCCAGUCUUCUCCUAGUGGGGACACAGUCCAACCUUCUCCUAGUGGGGACACAGUCCAACCUUCUCCUACUGGGGACACAGUCCAACCUUCUAGUGGGGACACAGUCCAGUCUUCUCCUAGUGGGGACACAGUCCAACCUUCUAGUGGGGACACAGUCCAGUCUUCUCCUAGUGGGGACACAGUCCAACCUUCUCCUAGUGGGGACACAGUCCAAACUUCUCCUAGGGGGACACAGUCCAACCUUCUAGUGGGGACACAGUCCAGUCUUCUCCUAGUGGGGACACAGUCCAAUCUUCUCCUAGGGGGACACAGUCCAAACUUCUAGUGGGGACACAGUCCAGUCUUCUCCUAGUGGGGACACAGUCCAACCUUCUAGUGGGGACACAGUCCAGUCUUCUCCUAGUGGGGACACAGUCCAACCUUCUCCUAGUGGUGACACAGUCCAAUCUUCUCCUAGUGGGGACACAGUCCAAUCUUCUCCUAGUGGGGACACAGUCCACCAUUUUUUCCAUCCCUGCACUGAAACUCCUGAUUCAACCUCUCACCUCACCACAGAGCCCUAGGUCAGCUGACUCAGGGGGUGGGUAUACCAGGAUCUGAAUGGAAAUAUAAGAACAUUAAACUGUUCAGGUUGCAAAAGGUUUUCAUGUAUUAACUACACCCUGGGUGUUGUAGAAAAUACCAGCUUAUAACCAAUAAGUGUAUAGUCAGAGGGUUGAAAACAACAUAAAUGGCACCCAAUGUUCUAGUGUCUAUGGUCUCUACAUAUAUAUCCUGUUCAGUAGGUCAGGGGGAGGAUGUCCUGGAUGGAGGUGACAGAUUGAACAUAGAUCAGAAUCGAUCAAUCCCAAUCUAAGCCUCUGGUUUGGAGAUACUGCCAAUACAUGUUCAUCCUUUCAUUCAUAUAUCAACUGUGUUCUUCUGCGUUGAGUUUACUAAAGGAUACCUUUUAAAAAGAAAUAACGUGAAUGUUUACAGUAUAUACUGUAUUUUAUGGUUUAGUAUUUUUUUUCUCCUGUUUUAUUCAAAGGAAAUGUGGCAUUUUGAUUCUUUAAAAUGAAAUAAAGCACAAUAAUUUUA